This 874-nucleotide ribosomal RNA is filed under the name uncultured bacterium. RNAcentral's name for it is "bacterial SSU rRNA". It matches the Rfam family "Bacterial small subunit ribosomal RNA", at positions 9 to 873 of the family's 1533-position model. The record is from RNAcentral.
AGAGUUUGAUCCUGGCUCAGAUUGAACGCUGGCGGCAUGCCUUACACAUGCAAGUCGAACGGCAGCACGGGAGCAAUCCUGGUGGCGAGUGGCGAACGGGUGAGUAAUAUAUCGGAACGUGCCCAGUCGUGGGGGAUAACGCAGCGAAAGCUGUGCUAAUACCGCAUACGAUCUAUGGAUGAAAGCGGGGGAUCGCAAGACCUCGCGCGAUUGGAGCGGCCGAUAUCAGAUUAGCUAGUUGGUGGGGUAAAGGCCCACCAAGGCGACGAUCUGUAGCUGGUCUGAGAGGACGACCAGCCACACUGGAACUGAGACACGGUCCAGACUCCUACGGGAGGCAGCAGUGGGGAAUUUUGGACAAUGGGCGCAAGCCUGAUCCAGCAAUGCCGCGUGCAGGAUGAAGGCCUUCGGGUUGUAAACUGCUUUUGUACGGAACGAAACGGUCCGCCCUAAUACGGUGGGCUAAUGACGGUACCGUAAGAAUAAGCACCGGCUAACUACGUGCCAGCAGCCGCGGUAAUACGUAGGGUGCGAGCGUUAAUCGGAAUUACUGGGCGUAAAGCGUGCGCAGGCGGUUAUAUAAGACAGAUGUGAAAUCCCCGGGCUCAACCUGGGACCUGCAUUUGUGACUGUAUAGCUAGAGUACGGUAGAGGGGGAUGGAAUUCCGCGUGUAGCAGUGAAAUGCGUAGAUAUGCGGAGGAACACCGAUGGCGAAGGCAAUCCCCUGGACCUGUACUGACGCUCAUGCACGAAAGCGUGGGGAGCAAACAGGAUUAGAUACCCUGGUAGUCCACGCCCUAAACGAUGUCAACUGGUUGUUGGGUCUUCACUGACUCAGUAACGAAGCUAACGCGUGAAGUGACCGCCUGGGAG